GAGGAAAGCAGGGGAUCGCAAGACCUUGCGCUUUUGGAGCGGCCGAUGUCUGAUUAGCUAGUUGGUGAGGUAAAGGCUUACCAAGGCUUCGAUCAGUAGCUGGUCUGAGAGGACGACCAGCCACACUGGGACUGAGACACGGCCCAGACUCCUACGGGAGGCAGCAGUGGGGAAUUUUGGACAAUGGGGGCAACCCUGAUCCAGCCAUGCCGCGUGAGCGAAGAAGGCCUUCGGGUUGUAAAGCUCUUUCAGCCGGAACGAAAAGGUUACGGUUAAUACCCGUGACUAAUGACGGUACCGGAAGAAGAAGCACCGGCUAACUACGUGCCAGCAGCCGCGGUAAUACG
This 347-nucleotide ribosomal RNA is filed under the name uncultured Nitrosospira sp. Its description in RNAcentral is "bacterial SSU rRNA". It matches the Rfam family "Bacterial small subunit ribosomal RNA", at positions 199 to 527 of the family's 1533-position model. Lineage: Bacteria; Pseudomonadati; Pseudomonadota; Betaproteobacteria; Nitrosomonadales; Nitrosomonadaceae. The record is from RNAcentral.